Non-coding RNA from Vicia faba (fava bean), 261 nucleotides. The record is from the annotation of a GenBank genome assembly. NCBI's taxonomy places the organism in Eukaryota, Viridiplantae, Streptophyta, Magnoliopsida, Fabales, Fabaceae.
AUGAUAAUUACUAACACAAUAUUCAUCAAUCAGAUUGGUGUUGGCAUGACAAUCCAGAUUAUAAACUCACAAACGAAUCAAAAUAGAGUUAUGUUGUUGAGGUUGAAUCGAAAGAAGUGGUGGAGGGCGUAUGUUGUUACAGCUUCUGAAGGAGGGGAACGCUUUACGAUUGGUCGACUGAACCGGAUGAAUGGAGAUGCACAGUUAGAGUUGAAUAUGAUGCGGAACAUGGGGUUACUAGUUGUUGAGCGAGAAGGAUGA